Molecule: ribosomal RNA, 514 nt
Filed under: uncultured bacterium
Lineage: Bacteria
Description: partial 16S ribosomal RNA
Rfam family: Bacterial small subunit ribosomal RNA
Source: RNAcentral
UGGGGAAUAUUGCACAAUGGGCGAAAGCCUGAUGCAGCGACGCCGCGUGCGGGAUGAAGGCCUUCGGGUUGUAAACCGCUUUUAAUUGGGAGCAAGCGAGAGUGAGUGUACCUUUUGAAUAAGCACCGGCUAACUACGUGCCAGCAGCCGCGGUAAUACGUAGGGUGCAAGCGUUAUCCGGAAUUAUUGGGCGUAAAGAGCUCGUAGGCGGUUCGUCACGCCUGGUGUGAAAGUCCAUCGCUUAACGGUGGAUCUGCGCCGGGUACGGGCAGGCUAGAGUGCAGUAGGGGAGAUUGGAAUUCCCGGUGUAACGGUGGAAUGUGUAGAUAUCGGGAAGAACACCAAUGGCGAAGGCAGAUCUCUGGGCUGUUACUGACGCUGAGGAGCGAAAGCAUGGGGAGCGAACAGGAUUAGAUACCCUGGUAGUCCAUGCCGUAAAACGGUGGAUGCUGGAUGUGGGACCCUUCCACGGGUUCCGUGUCGGAGCUAACGCGUUAAGCAUCCCGCCUGGGGG